RNAcentral lists this transfer RNA (96 nucleotides) under Rothia sp. ARF10. RNAcentral's name for it is "tRNA-Sec". It matches the Rfam family "Selenocysteine transfer RNA". RNAcentral also lists the same sequence under 2 other names. Lineage: Bacteria; Bacillati; Actinomycetota; Actinomycetes; Micrococcales; Micrococcaceae. The record is from RNAcentral.
GGAGGCGUCAGGGUUCCUGGUGGGCCCCCCGGUCUUCAACACCGGUGAGACCGAGCACCUCGGUCUGGCGGGUUCGAUUCCCGUCCGUCUCCGCCA